RNAcentral lists this ribosomal RNA (161 nucleotides) under Ilex mucronata. Its description in RNAcentral is "5.8S ribosomal RNA". The stretch from base 1 to 136 matches the Rfam family "5.8S ribosomal RNA", at positions 21 to 154 of the family's 154-position model. Rfam says of the family: 5.8S ribosomal RNA (5.8S rRNA) is a component of the large subunit of the eukaryotic ribosome. It is transcribed by RNA polymerase I as part of the 45S precursor that also contains 18S and 28S rRNA. Functionally, it is thought that 5.8S rRNA may be involved in ribosome translocation. The record is from RNAcentral. Lineage: Eukaryota; Viridiplantae; Streptophyta; Magnoliopsida; Aquifoliales; Aquifoliaceae.
UCGGCUCUCGCAUCGAUGAAGAACGUAGCGAAAUGCGAUACUUGGUGUGAAUUGCAGAAUCCCGUGAACCAUCGAGUUUUUGAACGCAAGUUGCGCCCAAAGCCAUUAGGCUAAGGGCACGUCUGCCUGGGCGUCACGCAUCACGUCGCCCCAACCCCCCA